AGAGUUUGAUCAUGGCUCAGAACGUACGCUGGCGGCACGCCUAACACAUGCAAGUCGAACGAAGUAGCAAUACUUAGUGGCAGACGGGUGAGUAACAUGUAGGUAUCUGCCCUUUGGCCUGGAAUAACACGAGGAAACUUGUGCUAAUACCGGAUAAGUCUUUACGGAGAAAGCUUUAUGCACCAUUGGAUGAGCCUGCACUUGAUUAGUUUGUUGGUGGGGUAAUGGCCUACCAAGACCGUGAUCAAUAGCUGAUUUGAGAGGAUGAUCAGCCACAUUGGGACUGAGACACGGCCCAAACUCCUACGGGAGGCAGCAGUGGGGAAUCUUGCACAAUGGAGGAAACUCUGAUGCAGCGAUGCCGCGUGAGUGAAGAAGGCCUUUGGGUUGUAAAGCUCUUUCGUCGGGGAAGAAAAUGACUGUACCCGAAUAAGAAGGUCCGGCUAACUUCGUGCCAGCAGCCGCGGUAAUACGAAGGGACCUAGCGUAGUUCGGAAUUACUGGGCUUAAAGAGUUCGUAGGUGGUUGAAAAAGUUGGUGGUGAAAUCCCAGAGCUUAACUCUGGAACUGCCAUCAAAACUUUUCAGCUAGAGUAUGAUAGAGGAAAGCAGGAUUUCUAGUGUAGAGGUGAAAUUCGUAGAUAUUAGAAAGAAUACCAAUUGCGAAGGCAGCUUUCUGGAUCAUUACUGACGCUGAGGAACGAAAGCAUGGGUAGCGAAGAGGAUUAGAUACCCUCGUAGUCCAUGCCGUAAACGAUGUGUGUUAGACGUUGGAAAUUUAUUUUCAGUGUCGCAGCGAAAGCGAUAAACACACCGCCUGGGGAGUACGACCGCAAGGUUAAAACUCAAAUGAAUUGACGGGGACCCGCACAAGUAGUGGAGCAUGUGGUUUAAUUCGAAGAUACGCGCAGAACCUUACCAACACUUGACAUGUUCGUCGCGACUUUAAGAGAUUAAAGUUUUUGGUUCGGCCGGACGAAACACAGGUGCUGCAUGGCUGUCGUCAGCUCGUGUCGUGAGAUGUUGGGUUAAGUCCCGCAACGAGCGCAACCCUCACUUUUAGUUGCCAUCAUUAAGUUGGGCACUCUGAAAGAACUGCCAGUGAUAAGCUGGAGGAAGGUGGGGAUGACGUCAAGUCCUCAUGGCCCUUACGUGUUGGGCUACACACGUGCUACAAUGGUAUCUACAACAGGAAGCAAAACCGCGAGGUUAAGCAAAUCCUUAAAAGAUACCUCAGUUCGGAUUGCACUCUGCAACUCGAGUGCAUGAAGCUGGAAUUACUAGUAAUCGUGGAUCAGCGUGCCACGGUGAAUGCGUUCCC
Molecule: ribosomal RNA, 1320 nt
Filed under: uncultured bacterium
Lineage: Bacteria
Description: bacterial SSU rRNA
Rfam family: Bacterial small subunit ribosomal RNA
Source: RNAcentral